RNAcentral lists this transfer RNA (85 nucleotides) under Comamonas sp. RNAcentral describes it as "tRNA-Leu". It matches the Rfam family "tRNA". Rfam says of the family: Transfer RNA (tRNA) molecules are approximately 80 nucleotides in length. The record is from RNAcentral. RNAcentral also lists the same sequence under 8 other names. Lineage: Bacteria; Pseudomonadati; Pseudomonadota; Betaproteobacteria; Burkholderiales; Comamonadaceae.
GCCCGGGUGGUGAAAUUGGUAGACGCAGGGGACUCAAAAUCCCCCGCCGCGAGGCGUGCCGGUUCGAGUCCGGCCCCGGGCACCA